AGUACGUGAAACCGUUCAGGGGUAAACCUGAGAAACCCAAAAGAUCGAAUGAGGAGAUUCAUCGUCAAUAUAUUUAAUAUAUAUAUAAGUUAUGAUGUAAAUUAUUUUUCUCUUUAUGGGUUAUUUAAUAUAUACAUACUUGUAUUAUUUUAUUGUUAAAUAUUAUCGACGUGCACUUCUCCUCUAGUAGGACGUUGCGACCCGUUGGGUGUCGGUCUAUGGCCUUAUUAAGUAGCCUUUAAUUCCUUAAAAAAAUUAAAGAUUAAUUUGUGUUUCCUGACCGACUGCCCGGCGGUAUUCAUAUGAUAAUGAGUCGCAUUUUAUUAUGCGUUCAUACCCAUCGCAAGCGAGGCCAGUUUAUUAUCCUGGUAGUUACGGACUUAGUGCCGUCGCUGGGCCUGGCCAGCUGUUAGCUGUAUGGUGUUCUAGAACUGACUCAAAUAUAAUAUUAUCGGUCGGCAAUGCUACUGCUUUGGGUACUUUCAGGACCCGUCUUGAAACACGG
RNAcentral lists this ribosomal RNA (505 nucleotides) under Praon bicolor. RNAcentral describes it as "eukaryotic LSU rRNA". The record is from RNAcentral. Lineage: Eukaryota; Metazoa; Arthropoda; Insecta; Hymenoptera; Braconidae.